This 331-nucleotide unclassified non-coding RNA is filed under the name soil metagenome. RNAcentral's name for it is "partial contains 5.8S ribosomal RNA, internal transcribed spacer 2, and large subunit ribosomal RNA". The stretch from base 1 to 120 matches the Rfam family "5.8S ribosomal RNA", at positions 35 to 154 of the family's 154-position model. The record is from RNAcentral.
GAUGAAGAACGCAGCGAAAUGCGAUAAGUAAUGUGAAUUGCAGAAUUCAGUGAAUCAUCGAAUCUUUGAACGCACAUUGCGCCCGCCAGUAUUCUGGCGGGCAUGCCUGUUCGAGCGUCAUUUCAACCAUCAAGCCCCCGGCUUGUGUUGGGGACCUGCGGCUGCCGCAGGCCCUGAAAACCAGUGGCGGGCUCGCUAGUCACUCCGAGCGUAGUAAUACAUCUCGCUCAGGGCGUGCUGCGGGUUCCGGCCGUUAAAAAGCCUUAUUUACCCAAGGUUGACCUCGGAUCAGGUAGGAAGACCCGCUGAACUUAAGCAUAUCAAUAAGCGA